AACGAACGCUGGCGGCAGGCCUAACACAUGCAAGUCGAGCGAGGACUUCGGUCCUAGCGGCGGACGGGGGAGUAACGCGUGGGAACGUGCCCUUUUCUUCGGAAUAGCCCUGGGAAACUGGGAGUAAUACCGGAUGAGCCCUUUGGGGGAAAGAUCUAUCGGCGAAGGAUCGGCCCGCGUUGGAUUAGGUAGUUGGUGGGGUAAUGGCCUACCAAGCCGACGAUCCAUAGCUGGUUGGAGAGGAUGAGCAGCCACGCUGGGACUGAGACACGGCCCAGACUCCUACGGGAGGCAGCAGUGGGGAAUCUUAGACGAUGGGGGAAACCCUGAUCUAGCCAUGCCGGGUGAGCGAUGAAGGCCUUAGGGUUGUAAAGCUCUUUCAGCUGGGAAGAUAAUGACGGUACCAGCAGAAGAAGCCCCGGCUAACUACGUG
Molecule: ribosomal RNA, 433 nt
Filed under: uncultured bacterium
Lineage: Bacteria
Description: partial 16S ribosomal RNA
Rfam family: Bacterial small subunit ribosomal RNA
Source: RNAcentral